AUACGGAGGGUGCAAGCGUUACUCGGAAUCACUGGGCGUAAAGCGCGCGCAGGCGGCUAUUUAAGUUGGAUGUGAAAGCCUACGGCUCAACCGUAGAACUGCAUCCAAAACUAUUUAGCUAGAGUGUGGGAGAGGAAGAUGGAAUUAGUUGUGUAGGGGUAAAAUCCGUAGAGAUAACUAGGAAUACCAAAAGCGAAGGCAAUCUUCUGGAACACUACUGACGCUGAGGCGCGAAAGCGUGGGGGGCAAACGGGAUUAGAAACCCUUGUAGUCC
Molecule: ribosomal RNA, 274 nt
Filed under: uncultured bacterium
Lineage: Bacteria
Description: partial 16S ribosomal RNA
Rfam family: Bacterial small subunit ribosomal RNA
Source: RNAcentral